Molecule: long non-coding RNA, 576 nt
Organism: Myotis daubentonii (Daubenton's bat)
Lineage: Eukaryota; Metazoa; Chordata; Mammalia; Chiroptera; Vespertilionidae
Source: RefSeq, a predicted model, not a curated record
GGUCUGCAGCACACAGAUGGCUUCACUCUCAUGCCUGGUGCCUUGGUAAAGGCUGAAAGACUGGACUCAACUGGGACUGUCAACUGGAGUGUCUAUGUGUGGUGUGACUUCUCCAGAAAGGUGGUCUCAGGCUAGGUAGUGGCGGAAGACUAAGUGCACGAAGGCACUGACAUUGAUGAAGAGUAAAGUAUCCAUCACUCUGGAGUAUAUAUCUGCCUACUCAUCAUUUGUUUGCCAUCAACUCUAAGGAGCAUGAUGCUACUUGUUUUGCAUGAUCAUGUCAUGUAAUUUCUACAACAUGCCUUCAAGUUACAGUUUAUGAUCAGAGGAAGAAAAAGAAACAGAAGACUACACAAAACACUGAUCUGGCAGAGCUCAAAGGGAAAACAGCAGAACUCUGCAAGAUGAGCACAGGAAGAUAUUGAGAAUAAAAUACUAAAAUAAAUUAUAAUGAAUUUAAAAACAAAUAUAAAUAUUUUGAAAUGAUUCCUAAAACUGCUUUUCUUGUGCUGCUAAGGAGAGAAAUUUGCAUUUAGUAACUUUUUCACUCUCUCUUUCUUUAUAUUACUCAUUUGC